UACGGGGGGGGCAAGCGUUGUUCGGAAUUACUGGGCGUAAAGGGCUCGUAGGCGGCCAACUAAGUCAGACGUGAAAUCCCUCGGCUUAACCGGGGAACUGCGUCUGAUACUGGAUGGCUUGAGUUUGGGAGAGGGAUGCGGAAUUCCAGGUGUAGCGGUGAAAUGCGUAGAUAUCUGGAGGAACACCGGUGGCGAAGGCGGCAUCCUGGACCAACACUGACGCUGAGGGAGCGAAAGCCAGGGGAGCAAACGGG
This 254-nucleotide ribosomal RNA is filed under the name uncultured bacterium. RNAcentral's name for it is "partial 16S ribosomal RNA". It matches the Rfam family "Bacterial small subunit ribosomal RNA", at positions 524 to 776 of the family's 1533-position model. The record is from RNAcentral.